UACGGGGGGGGCAAGCGUUGUUCGGAAUUACUGGGCGUAAAGGGCUCGUAGGCGGCCAACUAAGUCAGACGUGAAAUCCCCAGGCUCAACCUAGGAAUUGCGUCUGAUACUGGAUGGCUUGAAUCCGGGAGAGGGAUGCAGAAUUCCAGGUGUAGCGGUGAAAUGCGUAGAUAUCGAGAGGAACACCUGCGGCGAAGGCGGGUUGCUGGGCUGACACUGACGCUGAAGUGCGAAAGCUAGGGGAGCGAACGGG
This 253-nucleotide ribosomal RNA is filed under the name uncultured bacterium. RNAcentral describes it as "partial 16S ribosomal RNA". It matches the Rfam family "Bacterial small subunit ribosomal RNA", at positions 524 to 776 of the family's 1533-position model. The record is from RNAcentral.